Molecule: ribosomal RNA, 499 nt
Filed under: uncultured bacterium
Lineage: Bacteria
Description: partial 16S ribosomal RNA
Rfam family: Bacterial small subunit ribosomal RNA
Source: RNAcentral
GAUGAACGCUGGCGGCGUGCCUAAUACAUGCAAGUCGAGCGAACAGACGAGAGUGCUUGCACUCUCUGACGUUAGCGGCGGACGGGUGAGUAACACGUGGGUAACCUACCUAUAAGACUGGGAUAACUUCGGGAAACCGGAGCUAAUACCGGAUAAUAUUUAGCUUCGCAUGAAGCAAUAGUGAAAGACGGUUCUGCUGUCACUUAUAGAUGGACCCGCGGUGUAUUAGCUAGUUGGUGAGGUAACGGCUCACCAAGGCAACGAUACAUAGCCGACCUGAGAGGGUGAUCGGACACACUGGGACUGAGACACGGCCCAGACUCCUACGGGAGGCAGCAGUAGGGAAUCUUCCGCAAUGGACGAAAGUCUGACGGAGCAAUGCCGCGUGAGUGAAGAAGGUUUUCGGAUCGUAAAACUCUGUUGUAAGGGAAGAACAAGUACGUUAGUAACUGAACGUACCUUGACGGUACCUUACCAGAAAGCCACGGCUAACUACGUG